GGGUUGUGAGGUUAAGCGACUAAGCGUACACGGUGGAUGCCCUGGCAGUCAGAGGCGAUGAAGGACGUGCUAAUCUGCGAAAAGCGUCGGUAAGGUGAUAUGAACCGUUACAGCCGGCGAUGUCCGAAUGGGGAAACCCAGUGUGAUUCGUCACACUAUCGUUAACUGAAUACAUAGGUUAACGAGGCGAACCGGGGGAACUGAAACAUCUAAGUACCCCGAGGAAAAGAAAUCAACCGAGAUUCCCCCAGUAGCGGCGAGCGAACGGGGAGCAGCCCAGAGUCUGAAUCAGCUUGUGUGUUAGUGGAACGGUCUGGAAAGUCCGACGGUACAGGGUGAUAGUCCCGUACACCAAAAUGCACAGGCUGUGAACUCGAAGAGUAGGGCGGGACACGUGGUAUCCUGUCUGAAUAUGGGGGGACCAUCCUCCAAGGCUAAAUACUCCUGACUGACCGAUAGUGAACCAGUACCGUGAGGGAAAGGCGAAAAGAACCCCGGCGAGGGGAGUGAAAAAGAACCUGAAACCGUGUACGUACAAGCAGUGGGAGCACCUUUAUGGUGUGACUGCGUACCUUUUGUAUAAUGGGUCAGCGACUUAUAUUCUGUAGCAAGGUUAACCGUAUAGGGGAGCCGCAGGGAAACCGAGUCUUAACUGGGCGUUAAGUUGCAGGGUAUAGACCCGAAACCCGGUGAUCUAGCCAUGGGCAGGUUGAAGGUUGGGUAACACUAACUGGAGGACCGAACCGACUAAUGUUGAAAAAUUAGCGGAUGACUUGUGGCUGGGGGUGAAAGGCCAAUCAAACCGGGAGAUAGCUGGUUCUCCCCGAAAGCUAUUUAGGUAGCGCCUCGUGAAUUCAUCUUCGGGGGUAGAGCACUGUUUCGGCUAGGGGGUCAUCCCGACUUACCAACCCGAUGCAAACUACGAAUACCGAAGAAUGUUAUCACGGGAGACACACGGCGGGUGCUAACGUCCGUCGUGAAGAGGGAAACAACCCAGACCGCCAGCUAAGGUCCCAAAGUCACAGUUAAGUGGGAAACGAUGUGGGAAGGCACAGACAGCCAGGAUGUUGGCUUAGAAGCAGCCAUCAUUUAAAGAAAGCGUAAUAGCUCACUGGUCGAGUCGGCCUGCGCGGAAGAUGUAACGGGGCUAAACUGUGCACCGAAGCUGCGGCAGCGACACUUAGGUGUUGUUGGGUAGGGGAGCGUUCUGUAAGCCUGCGAAGGUGGCCUGUGAGGGUUGCUGGAGGUAUCAGAAGUGCGAAUGCUGACAUAAGUAACGAUAAUGCGGGUGAAAAGCCCGCACGCCGGAAGACCAAGGGUUCCUGUCCAACGUUAAUCGGGGCAGGGUGAGUCGACCCCUAAGGCGAGGCCGAAAGGCGUAGUCGAUGGGAAACAGGUUAAUAUUCCUGUACUUGGUGUUACUGCGAAGGGGGGACGGAGAAGGCUAUGUUAGCCGGGCGACGGUUGUCCCGGUUUAAGCAUGUAGGCGGAGGUUCCAGGUAAAUCCGGUACCUUUUAACGCUGAGGUGUGAUGACGAGGCACUACGGUGCUGAAGUAACAAAUGCCCUGCUUCCAGGAAAAGCCUCUAAGCAUCAGGUAACAUUGAAUCGUACCCCAAACCGACACAGGUGGUCAGGUAGAGAAUACCAAGGCGCUUGAGAGAACUCGGGUGAAGGAACUAGGCAAAAUGGUGCCGUAACUUCGGGAGAAGGCACGCUGAUAUGUAGGUGAAGCCCCUGCGGGUGGAGCUGAAAUCAGUCGAAGAUACCAGCUGGCUGCAACUGUUUAUUAAAAACACAGCACUGUGCAAACACGAAAGUGGACGUAUACGGUGUGACGCCUGCCCGGUGCCGGAAGGUUAAUUGAUGGGGUUAUCCGUAAGGAGAAGCUCUUGAUCGAAGCCCCGGUAAACGGCGGCCGUAACUAUAACGGUCCUAAGGUAGCGAAAUUCCUUGUCGGGUAAGUUCCGACCUGCACGAAUGGCGUAAUGAUGGCCAGGCUGUCUCCACCCGAGACUCAGUGAAAUUGAACUCGCUGUGAAGAUGCAGUGUACCCGCGGCAAGACGGAAAGACCCCGUGAACCUUUACUAUAGCUUGACACUGAACAUUGAGCCUUGAUGUGUAGGAUAGGUGGGAGGCUUUGAAGCGUGGACGCCAGUCUGCGUGGAGCCAACCUUGAAAUACCACCCUUUAAUGUUUGAUGUUCUAACGUUGGCCCCUGACCGGGGUUGCGGACAGUGUCUGGUGGGUAGUUUGACUGGGGCGGUCUCCUCCCAAAGAGUAACGGAGGAGCACGAAGGUUAGCUAAUCCUGGUCGGACAUCAGGAGGUUAGUGCAAUGGCAUAAGCUAGCUUGACUGCGAGCGUGACGGCGCGAGCAGGUGCGAAAGCAGGUCAUAGUGAUCCGGUGGUUCUGAAUGGAAGGGCCAUCGCUCAACGGAUAAAAGGUACUCCGGGGAUAACAGGCUGAUACCGCCCAAGAGUUCAUAUCGACGGCGGUGUUUGGCACCUCGAUGUCGGCUCAUCACAUCCUGGGGCUGAAGUAGGUCCCAAGGGUAUGGCUGUUCGCCAUUUAAAGUGGUACGCGAGCUGGGUUUAGAACGUCGUGAGACAGUUCGGUCCCUAUCUGCCGUGGGCGCUGGAGAAUUGAGGGGGGCUGCUCCUAGUACGAGAGGACCGGAGUGGACGCAUCACUGGUGUUCGGGUUGUCAUGCCAAUGGCAUUGCCCGGUAGCUAAAUGCGGAAGAGAUAAGUGCUGAAAGCAUCUAAGCACGAAACUUGCCCCGAGAUGAGUUCUCCCUGAGACUUUAAGUCUCCUGAAGGAACGUUAAAGACGAUGACGUUGAUAGGUCGGGUGUGUAAGCGUAGCGAUACGUUGAGCUAACCGAUACUAAUGAACCGUGAGGCUUAACCUUACAACGCCGAAG
Molecule: ribosomal RNA, 2927 nt
Filed under: Klebsiella aerogenes
Lineage: Bacteria; Pseudomonadati; Pseudomonadota; Gammaproteobacteria; Enterobacterales; Enterobacteriaceae
Description: bacterial LSU rRNA
Rfam family: Bacterial large subunit ribosomal RNA
Source: RNAcentral